Molecule: ribosomal RNA, 496 nt
Filed under: uncultured bacterium
Lineage: Bacteria
Description: partial 16S ribosomal RNA
Rfam family: Bacterial small subunit ribosomal RNA
Source: RNAcentral
AUGAACGCUGGCGGCGUGCCUAAUACAUGCCAGUCGAGCGAACAGACGAGGAGCUUGCUCCUCUGACGUUAGCGGCGGACGGGUGAGUAACACGUGGAUAACCUACCUAUAAGACUGGGAUAACUUCGGGAAACCGGAGCUAAUACCGGAUAAUAUAUUGAACCGCAUGGUUCAAUAGUGAAAGACGGUUUUGCUGUCACUUAUAGAUGGAUCCGCGCCGCAUUAGCUAGUUGGUAAGGUAACGGCUUACCAAGGCAACGAUGCGUAGCCGACCUGAGAGGGUGAUCGGCCACACUGGAACUGAGACACGGUCCAGACUCCUACGGGAGGCAGCAGUAGGGAAUCUUCCGCAAUGGGCGAAAGCUUGACGGAGCAACGCCGCGUGAGUGAUGAAGGUCUUCGGAUCGUAAAACUCUGUUAUUAGGGAAGAACAAAUGUGUAAGUAACUAUGCACGCCUUGACGGUACCUAAUCAGAAAGCCACGGCUAACUACGUG